AUGUUGGAGAGCUGUUUUUUGCCUCAAAAGAUCCAAAAGUUGGUUAUUUUUACAUAUGAACCGUUUAUUGGAGAUGCUCUAACCUCAUCCGCCGGUGCUACCAUUGCUUCUCCUUAUGAAACCAGUGGUCUGGCGGCUAUUGCCAUGAGGCCUUGGAGCCGGACUUGUGCUCCUCCUCUUGGAGGUCAUCGCCGGUGUCCUGAAGCCGAUAGUAGGACAUGUCUGGCAUGCGCUAGGGCAGUGGCAUCACAGAGGACAAGAUCAAUAUUGUUUGAGAUCGGUCUUGAUGGUGUUGUAUGA
RNAcentral lists this ribosomal RNA (300 nucleotides) under Triticum aestivum (bread wheat). RNAcentral's name for it is "partial small subunit ribosomal RNA". The record is from RNAcentral. Lineage: Eukaryota; Viridiplantae; Streptophyta; Magnoliopsida; Poales; Poaceae.